This is a non-coding RNA of Camelina sativa (false flax), 274 nucleotides long. The record is from RefSeq and is a predicted model, not a curated record. NCBI's taxonomy places the organism in Eukaryota, Viridiplantae, Streptophyta, Magnoliopsida, Brassicales, Brassicaceae.
UGCAGACACAAUGUCCUACAUCAGGUAUAACUUCCAAGGUCGAGCAAUGGUUAUCUUCACCCUCAAAAAAAGUUUCCAAAAGACCAACUUUUGCAGCAAAUAGGGUCAUGGAAAGGGUAAAACCUUCCACAGAUGGGGAGUUAGAAAUUGUUAACACUUCUAGUAGUGGAAACAGUCCUUUCCAGACCCCACCGUCACUUUCAUGCCCUCACAACAAGCUUCCUAGUACUGUAACAUGCAGUGCAGCUUGUGGAUUAACGGGGGGUGGACAACA